RNAcentral lists this small RNA (28 nucleotides) under Bombyx mori (domestic silkworm). RNAcentral describes it as "ovarian small RNA-34642". Lineage: Eukaryota; Metazoa; Arthropoda; Insecta; Lepidoptera; Bombycidae. The record is from RNAcentral.
UGGAUAUAGGUCGGAAGUGAGUAACAAG